CCUCCUCCUCUUCCUCACAAUCCUGUCGGCAAUAGCGCGUCGUCGAGGGUUGAGCUGCGCAAUUCAUAGUCUGUGAAUUGCGAACUCCGAAUUACGAGGCGAAUUGCAGUGCAGAGCUAUCGUAGUAGGAGUUCCGUGAGGAGAUCGAAGGAUUUGUGCGUAAUCUUUGCUGCGAUGGAUUCAAGUGGAGUGGAUACGGAGCCGCUUCUGCAAGGAGUGCAGUACCCUCCGCUGUACUCCCCAGCUCUGUCUUCUGCGUUUCGCCCAGACAGUUCGUCGCAGGAAGGGGAGGGGCAUUUAAGUGAAUGGGCCGAGGGGCAAUAUACUUCAUCGGGAGCGAAUCCUAUUCUUCCCAGCGUGCCAUCAAUGGAGACUGCUUCAUUGGCCACAGUUAACGAGAUUCGCGAGGCUGCUAGUCAAGAUCCUUAUCCGCAAUGGAUCUAUGGCGCAUUGCUUGAUCCUGAAGUUUCGUCACAAAGGGAUGUGCAGCCUCCUCAAGUUUCCCAACCAAGCGCCACGCAAGAUAGUCAAUCAAAUGCAGGAGCAGCGCCCAUCCGUGAGCAGAGCCACGUUACAGAGGAGGAAAUUCGAGAGAUCUUGACGGCCUAUGUGGAGAAGCAGGGUUGUUGGGGUGGGCGGCCAGCAAACGAAUGGGUAAUCAGCAAGAUUGAAGACUGUAACGUGUAUGUUGGAACCCUCGAGACCUUCAUUGAGGAACGAGAUGUGGAGAGACUGGUCAAGCCUUACACUGGAGGUCCUGUUCAGGACAAUUCAAGUAAACAUGUGCCAGGCCCGUGGGAAAUAGAUAUGAGACAUGAGUUUCCUUUGUUGUUCACCACAAGUAAAAUGGUUCAUCAGAAAAUUCCCUCUUCGGUAUUAGUACAACCAUGUGGAGACUGUUCUGGUCGAAAGGAAGUUUCCUGCCCUCGGUGCAAUCCAAACAAGGACCUCGAUUCUUGUGUACAUGGCGUGACUACUGAGUGUUCAAAAUGCCAUGGCCGUGGCCUUCUUGCUCAUCAGGACGGCUCUGAUACCAACUGUGAACAGUGUAGAGGUAAAGGGAGGUUGCCAUGCGCACAAUGCAAUUCUAGAGGCCGCAUCCAAUGUGGCAAAUGUCAGGGAUCAGGUGCAUUGCUGGAGGAAAAGCAAUUGAAUGUUAAGUGGUCAACUCUGAUAUCCAAGAAGAUCAGCACAUCAAUCAAUGCAAGUUUGGUGCCUGAUGAUGUAUUCCAUGAAGCCAAAGGAAUUCAACUGUACAGCAGCGAGUCGUACCAAUGUCAGCCCGUGAGCUUCCCCAACUCCCUCGUUCUCACAAGGCUCUCAUCUAAUGUCAUUGCGGAGAGGAUUCCUGUUCCACCGACAGCCCGCGUCAUUUCUGAGCGACAUCAAGUUCAUAUGAUUCCUGUGACGCGCGUCUCUGUGGGCCAGGGCCGAGGCUCCUUCAAGUUCCAUAUUGUCGGCGUGGAGAAGCAUAUCUACCUCAAGGAUUAUCCUGACAGGUGCUGCUGGGGGCUUUGUGGUCUUGGAACUUUAUGCUCCAUCUUGUGACAUCCGUGCCUCAAACCCACCCACUUCUCUUGGUCUGUAGCUGUGUGUUCUCAGGCCUGUGGGGCCAGGAGCACUGUUGGGUGCAGGGGUCGCUCUCACGCUGUCAGUUGGGCUGGCGUUACUGUGGAAGGUGACUCAACAGCAAAAACCUCGGCACUCUCGGCAGUUUAUAAUUCGUAUUUAAUUCCCUGUAAAACAAUGUUGGUUACUGUAAGUUAGCUCUGCUGUGUUUGUGUGUGUGUUUUUGUACGAGUGAAUAAAUAUAACAAAGAGAGACAUAUAGGCAGCUGUGCAGUAUAAAGGCCACCAUCGAGGGGGCAGUAGUGAAGUAUGUUUGGUAUUUUGGAUUUUUUGCUUAUAUCGAUUAGGUUGAGUUUCGAGGCCUUGUGUGCUUCGAUGGAAUGAAAUAUUCUAAUUAUAAAGAAGCUCAUCUGUAUGCACAUUUGAAUGAAAAUACCCCUUUCAGACACCUCUUUUUUUCA
Molecule: RNA transcript, 2030 nt
Organism: Physcomitrium patens
Lineage: Eukaryota; Viridiplantae; Streptophyta; Bryopsida; Funariales; Funariaceae
Source: RefSeq, a predicted model, not a curated record